GUGCCAGCCGCCGCGGUAAUACGUAGGUGGCAAGCGUUGUCCGGAUUUAUUGGGCGUAAAGCGAGCGCAGGCGGUUUCUUAAGUCUGAUGUGAAAGCCCCCGGCUCAACCGGGGAGGGUCAUUGGAAACUGGGAGACUUGAGUGCAGAAGAGGAGAGUGGAAUUCCAUGUGUAGCGGUGAAAUGCGUAGAGAUGUGGAGGAACACCAGUGGCGAAGGCGACUCUCUGGUCUGUAACUGACGCUGAGGAGCGAAAGCGUGGGGAGCGAACAGGAUUAGAUACCCCGGUAGUCC
Molecule: ribosomal RNA, 292 nt
Filed under: uncultured prokaryote
Description: partial 16S ribosomal RNA
Rfam family: Bacterial small subunit ribosomal RNA
Source: RNAcentral